RNAcentral lists this ribosomal RNA (406 nucleotides) under uncultured bacterium. Its description in RNAcentral is "partial 16S ribosomal RNA". It matches the Rfam family "Bacterial small subunit ribosomal RNA", at positions 29 to 526 of the family's 1533-position model. The record is from RNAcentral.
AUUGAACGCUGGCGGCAGGCUUAACACAUGCAAGUCGAGCGAGCGGCGGACGGGUGAGUAAUGUCUGGGAAACUGCCUGAUGGAGGGGGAUAACUACUGGAAACGGUAGCUAAUACCGCAUACCAUCAGAUGUGCCCAGAUGGGAUUAGCUAGUAGGUGGGGUAAUGGCUCACCUAGGCGACGAUCCCUAGCUGGUCUGAGAGGAUGACCGGCCAAACGGGAACGGAGACAGGGUCCAGACUCCUAGGGGAGGAAGCGGUGGGAAGUAUUGCACAAUGGGCGAAAGCCGGAUGCAGCCAUGCCGCGUGUGUGAAGAGGGCCUUCGGGUUGUAAAGCACUUUGCGCGAGGAGGCGUUACUCGCAGAAGAAGCACCGGCUAACUCCGUGCCAGCAGCCGCGGUAAUUC